GACGAACGCUGGCGGCGUGCUGAACACAUGCAAGUCGAACGGAAAGGCCCUGCUUUUGUGGGGUGCUCGAGUGGCGAACGGGUGAGUGACACGUGAGUAACCUGCCCUUGACUUUGGGAUAACUUCAGGAAACUGGGGCUAAUACCGGAUAGGAGCUCCUGCUGCAUGGUGGGGGUUGGAAAGUUUCGGCGGUUGGGGAUGGACUCGCGGCUUAUCAGCUUGUUGGUGGGGUAGUGGCUUACCAAGGCUUUGACGGGUAGCCGGCCUGAGAGGGUGACCGGCCACAUUGGGACUGAGAUACGGCCCAGACUCCUACGGGAGGCAGCAGUGGGGAAUAUUGCACAAUGGGCGGAAGCCUGAUGCAGCAACGCCGCGUGCGGGAUGACGGCCUUCGGGUUGUAAACCGCUUUCGCCUGUGACGAAGCGUGAGUGACGGUAAUGGGUAAAGAAGCACCGGCUAACUACGUG
RNAcentral lists this ribosomal RNA (468 nucleotides) under uncultured bacterium. RNAcentral describes it as "partial 16S ribosomal RNA". It matches the Rfam family "Bacterial small subunit ribosomal RNA", at positions 28 to 507 of the family's 1533-position model. The record is from RNAcentral.